CAGUAGCCGCGGUAAUACGUAUGUCACAAGCGUUAUCCGGACUUAUUGGGCGUAAAGCGCGUCUAGGUGGUUAUGUAAGUCUGAUGUGAAAAUGCAGGGCUCAACUCUGUAUUGCGUUGGAAACUGUGUAACUAGAGUACUGGAGAGGUAAGCGGAACUACAAGUGUAGAGGUGAAAUUCGUAGAUAUUUGUAGGAAUGCCGAUGGGGAAGCCAGCUUACUGGACAGAUACUGACGCUAAAGCGCGAAAGCGUGGGUAGCAAACAGGAUUAGAUACCCCCGUAGUCCCUGUCUCUUAUACA
This 301-nucleotide ribosomal RNA is filed under the name uncultured bacterium. RNAcentral describes it as "partial 16S ribosomal RNA". It matches the Rfam family "Bacterial small subunit ribosomal RNA", at positions 509 to 808 of the family's 1533-position model. The record is from RNAcentral.